UACGGAGGAUGCGAGCGUUAUCCGGAUUUAUUGGGUUUAAAGGGUGCGUAGGCGGCUUUUUAAGUCAGCGGUGAAAUUUUGCAGCUUAACUGUAACAGUGCAGUUGAUACUGGGGAGCUAGGAUUUGGUUGCUGUGGGUGGAAUGUGUGGUGUAGCGGUGAAAUGCUUAGAGAUCACACAGAAUAUCGAUUGCGAAGGCAGCUCACAAAGCCAAGAUUGACGCUGAGGCACGAAAGUGUGGGGAUCAAACAGGAUUA
This 257-nucleotide ribosomal RNA is filed under the name uncultured prokaryote. RNAcentral's name for it is "partial 16S ribosomal RNA". It matches the Rfam family "Bacterial small subunit ribosomal RNA", at positions 524 to 780 of the family's 1533-position model. The record is from RNAcentral.